UACGGAGGGUGCAAGCGUUAAUCGGAAUUACUGGGCGUAAAGCGCACGUAGGCGGUAAGUUAAGCCAGCUGUGAAAUCCCCGGGCUCAACCUGGGAAUUGCAGUUGGAACUGGCUUGCUAGAGUAUGGUAGAGGGGUGUGGAAUUUCAGGUGUAGCGGUGAAAUGCGUAGAUAUCUGAAGGAACAUCAGUGGCGAAGGCGACACCCUGGACCAAUACUGACGCUGAGGUGCGAAAGCGUGGGGAGCAAACAGGAUUAGAAACCCGCGUAGUCC
RNAcentral lists this ribosomal RNA (273 nucleotides) under uncultured bacterium. RNAcentral's name for it is "partial 16S ribosomal RNA". It matches the Rfam family "Bacterial small subunit ribosomal RNA", at positions 524 to 796 of the family's 1533-position model. The record is from RNAcentral.